RNAcentral lists this ribosomal RNA (255 nucleotides) under uncultured prokaryote. RNAcentral describes it as "partial 16S ribosomal RNA". It matches the Rfam family "Bacterial small subunit ribosomal RNA", at positions 524 to 777 of the family's 1533-position model. The record is from RNAcentral.
UACGUAGGGGACAAGCGUUGUCCGGAAUCACUGGGCGUAAAGGGCACGCAGGCGGUCUAUCAAGCAGGAUGUGAAAGGCGGGAGCUCAACUCCUUGCACGGCAACCUGAACUGACAGACUAGAGUAUUGGAGAGGCAGGCAGAAUUCCUGGUGUAGCGGUGAAAUGCGUAGAGAUCAGGAGGAAUACCGGAGGCGAAGGCGGCCUGCUGGACAAAUACUGACGCUGAGGUGCGAAAGCGUGGGGAGCAAACAGGA